This 397-nucleotide ribosomal RNA is filed under the name uncultured bacterium. RNAcentral's name for it is "partial 16S ribosomal RNA". It matches the Rfam family "Bacterial small subunit ribosomal RNA", at positions 523 to 918 of the family's 1533-position model. The record is from RNAcentral.
AUACGUAGGGGGCGAGCGUUGUCCGGAAUGAUUGGGCGUAAAGGGCGCGUAGGCGGCUUUGCAAGUCAGUAGUGGAAGUCCAUUUUUCAAGGAUGGAAGUGCUACAGAAACUGCGGAGCUUGAGUGCAGGAGAGGUUAUCGGAAUUCCCGGUGUAGCGGUGAAAUGCGUAGAGAUCGGGAGGAACACCAGUGGCGAAGGCGGGUGACUGGACUGCAACUGACGCUGAGGCGCGAAAGUGUGGGGAGCAAACAGGAUUAGAUACCCUGGUAGUCCACACUGUAAACGAUGAAUGCUAGGUGUAGGUGGUAUCGACCCCAUCUGUGCCGCAGUCAACACAGUAAGCAUUCCGCCUGGGGAGUACGGUCGCAAGAUUAAAACUCAAAUGAAUUGACGGGG